GGGCCUGUAGCUCAGUUGGGAGAGCGCUGCAAUCGCACUGCAGAGGUCGUCAGUUCGACUCUGAUCAGGUCCACCA
Molecule: transfer RNA, 76 nt
Filed under: Alphaproteobacteria bacterium
Lineage: Bacteria; Pseudomonadati; Pseudomonadota; Alphaproteobacteria
Description: tRNA-Ala
Rfam family: tRNA
About the family: Transfer RNA (tRNA) molecules are approximately 80 nucleotides in length. Their secondary structure includes four short double-helical elements and three loops (D, anti-codon, and T loops). Further hydrogen bonds mediate the characteristic L-shaped molecular structure. tRNAs have two regions of fundamental functional importance: the anti-codon, which is responsible for specific mRNA codon recognition, and the 3' end, to which the tRNAs corresponding amino acid is attached (by aminoacyl-tRNA synthetases). tRNAs cope with the degeneracy of the genetic code in two manners: having more than one tRNA (with a specific anti-codon) for a particular amino acid; and 'wobble' base-pairing, i.e. permitting non-standard base-pairing at the 3rd anti-codon position.
Source: RNAcentral